Molecule: long non-coding RNA, 1002 nt
Filed under: Betta splendens (Siamese fighting fish)
Lineage: Eukaryota; Metazoa; Chordata; Actinopteri; Anabantiformes; Osphronemidae
Description: lncRNA (ENSBSLG00000024711.1)
Source: RNAcentral
AUGAGUGGUCCGGAGAAGAAAAAGACAGUGAUCCUGGUCCUCCUGCUGCUGGUGGGGACACUUGGGGUGGUGCAGCAAUGCCUCAGACCAUCCGUGUCCUCCGAAGCAGGGGAACAGUUAAGACUUAGGAGAAAUGCAAACGGGUCAGUAGGGGCCAAGAGUAACAUAGGUAGACGUAGAGGGCCUGUAGGGAAAGAAUGGCCUAGGGUUAAUGUGUGGACCUCUAAUGACCCUGGGUGGAGUUAUGGGGUGUGGACCACCUGGAGUGCCCAGAUGUCAAUUAUAGAGUGGGACUCGACUGCAGACACAAUGACCAUUUAUGUGUCUGUGGAUCAGGAGUCCCAGGAGCGGUUGUGUGGGAUAGAGUGGAUGGGCCAGCGCAUGUAUGAGUUCCCUACUUCCUGGGGGAAAGACAGGUGUUCCAUCAGAGUGAGAGAGGGAGAGACGGAGUCAGGAAAAGUAUGGGACAUUAGAGUAGGUUUUCGCAAUAGGAAACCUGAGAGUCCUAGAGUCAUCUGGUCUAAGAAUAAAGGAGGGAGUGCACACCGUGAGGUUGCAGCCCUACAGCCCCCACCAGGAAACAUCGUGGAGGAUGAGGAUGAGGUUCAGACUCAGCGGCCAGCCGGAUCAGCGACCAAAGAGCUCGUUGUUGCUUCAGCGGGGGCUUCAAUGCCGAACAGUGGUUCAGGCCUUUCAGGAUGGAUGCAGCAAGCUGUGUCAGGAUGGACUGAUGGGCUGAUCACAAAAUUACAAGGAUUUUUGUCAGAACAAGAUGAGGAGGAAGACGAGGAACAGGGUGAGAAUACUCUAGUGGAUGUGCGCCUGCAAAAUAGCUGGUACAGAUGGGUUCAGUUUGCGGGGUUGGCUAAUGGGAAGACUGAUUGUUACAUCUGUACUAAAGCCAAGCCUGAUAGGUUUUUUGUGCUAAAUACGAUUUUCAGUUGGCAGGAUUGUGAAAAGAGAUUGCGGGCAUACACUCAAAGUCCCAGACCCUGGUGUUAA